Molecule: long non-coding RNA, 1020 nt
Filed under: Anas platyrhynchos platyrhynchos (common mallard)
Lineage: Eukaryota; Metazoa; Chordata; Aves; Anseriformes; Anatidae
Description: lncRNA (ENSAPLG00000023573.1)
Source: RNAcentral
AGCCUUUGAAGAUGCAGUCCAUCAGGCAAUACACCAGUCUGCAAAGGUAUUGGAAACUUCUUGGCAAAGCCAGGAGCUGCAAGCUGAAAACUCAGCUUGUAAAAUGUGAAUGAUCGAAAUGCAUCAACUUUAAAGUAUGUUCUGUAAUGCUUCGGACAAAUAAAGGAACCCUUAAAAAGAAAGGGCAAAAUCAAAUGAGGAAUCCAGGCUGUGACUGGUUGUCCUCCAGUAAUGUUGAAACCUGGCUAAAUUUAGAAAAAGAGGCCCUGAAACUUCUCCUGAACAGAACUAGUGUUUGUACCUUGAAAUGAUGCUGAGGGUUUCACUUUUCAUUACAAGCAGAUUACUUGGGUUUCUCAAGGAAUUUAAAGCACUCUUAAAAAAAAUGUGUAAUUUUGUCAGCUGUAAAAUGACUGUGGUGGCAACAUGUGCUAGGGAGCAGCCCUUGCUCUCCCCAUGCAGGGACCUGCAACCAUUCACAUCCAUCAGUGGAACACAGCAGGUGACAGCAUGGAUGAAAAGCAGGACAGGGUCCUAUUUUAAUUCCUAGGGCUAACCUCCUCCAUUGACCAGGGAUGCUCAGAGAGCUGUUAAAUUGGCUUUGUUUUGUUUUCAUUGACAAUAACAAUCUUCUCAACAUCACAGACCUCUGUGGCCAAUUUAAUCCCAGUAAUGCAGCUCCUCUGAAUGCUGGGACUGAUCCCGAUGAGGUACCAUGGGGCCAGCCCUGCUUUGCAAGGUGCCUCUGCAAGGAAAAGAGCUGUUAACCCGAAUUACUUGGCAGCUCCCAGAAAUUCUAGCAGUUUUAGACUUGCAGUGAGACCUUGGCGAAGGACAACCACAUUUACCCCGGUGCCUCACAAGAGCCCAUUGCAGAAUUGGGUCCAUUUUUUUAACGGACUUCUUUAUGAACCUGUGUCCUCCAGUAAGGAUCAGAAAGGACGGUACUUUGGUGUGCAUUCAUUUGAGCUUUUCUUCCUCCUGAAUCUGCAUACGCUGUGUGACAAGGAAGCCUGCUGA